CCUACGGGAGGCUGCAGUGGGGAAUAUUGGACAAUGGGGGGAACCCUGAUCCAGCCAUGCCGCGUGUGUGAAGAAGGCCCUCGGGUUGUAAAGCACUUUCAGUGAGGAAGAACGCCUGGUGGUUAAUACCCAUCAGGAAAGACAUCACUCACAGAAGAAGCACCGGCUAACUCCGUGCCAGCAGCCGCGGUAAUACGGAGGGUGCGAGCGUUAAUCGGAAUUACUGGGCGUAAAGCGCGCGUAGGUGGCUUGAUAAGCCGGUUGUGAAAGCCCCGGGCUCAACCUGGGAACGGCAUCCGGAACUGUCAAGCUGGAGUGCAGGAGAGGAAGGUAGAAUUCCCGGUGUAGCGGUGAAAUGCGUAGAGAUCGGGAGGAAUACCAGUGGCGAAGGCGGCCUUCUGGACUGACACUGACACUGAGGUGCGAAAGCGUGGGUAGCAAACAGGAUUAGAUACCCCAGUAGUC
Molecule: ribosomal RNA, 465 nt
Filed under: Vreelandella stevensii
Lineage: Bacteria; Pseudomonadati; Pseudomonadota; Gammaproteobacteria; Oceanospirillales; Halomonadaceae
Description: partial 16S ribosomal RNA
Rfam family: Bacterial small subunit ribosomal RNA
Source: RNAcentral